Molecule: ribosomal RNA, 458 nt
Filed under: uncultured bacterium
Lineage: Bacteria
Description: partial 16S ribosomal RNA
Rfam family: Bacterial small subunit ribosomal RNA
Source: RNAcentral
AACGAACGCUGGCGGCAGGCCUAACACAUGCAAGUCGAGCGAAACCUUCGGGUCUAUCGGCGGACGGGGGUGUAACGCGUGGGAACGUUCCCUUGUCUACGGACUAGCCUCGGGAAACUGAGCAUAAUACCGAAUACGCGCUUUGGGGGGAAGAUUUAUCGAAGAAGAAUCGGCCCGCGUUGGAUUAGGUAGUUGGUGAGGUAAUGGCUUACCAAGCCAACGAUCCGUAGCCGGCUGGAGAGGGUGAUCAGCCACACUGGGACUGAGACACGGCCCAGACUCCUACGGGAGGCAGCAGUAAGGAAUCUUCCGCAAUGGGCGAAAGCUGGACGGAGCAACGCCGCGUGAGUGAUGAAGGUCUUCGGAUCGGAAAACUCUGUUAUGAGGGAAGAACAAAUGUGUAAGUAACUAUGCACGUCUUGACGGUACCUAAUCAGAAAGCCACGGCUAACUACGUG